Lathyrus oleraceus (garden pea) is the source of this 862-nucleotide long non-coding RNA. RefSeq lists it as uncharacterized. The record is from RefSeq and is a predicted model, not a curated record. Lineage: Eukaryota; Viridiplantae; Streptophyta; Magnoliopsida; Fabales; Fabaceae. The transcript is spliced from 2 exons.
CAGGGGGUGUAAUAGUGGAAUUGGGGUACAGUGAGAGAUCCAAGUGCAUGUGCCUAUGGGAAAAAGGCCCACUAAACUCAGUCUUGGCCAGAGCAUUCAACAUGUGGAUCAAGCAAAUUAAUCAUGUGGCAAAUGAAAUUCAAUUUGAAUUUGAAUUAAAAUGGAGAAAAACGUGCGCGGGUGAGAAACACCUCAGAAAAAGUCUCAGGUGAAAGGCAUUGUUGGUCGCCGUGCCGAAAAUCGCCUUGGUGGCAGUGGCCACCAAAAACGAGAAUUGAACUUAACAUCUCCUUCGUCUCAUCAUGCUCAGUUUAAAUCUUGUUCCAAUUUCUCCAAAUUCCACGCCUAGAACCCUAACGACAUUGAUGAACUCAAGAACCCUAAACAUAUAAACCUAAAUUAAAUAACAAUCUUGAGGAAUCAAAGCCCAAUAGGUUGGGGCUUUGAUUCCUCUCACCUCAACCCACAUCAUAGUAUCCAGAAAUGAAGAAAAUGUGAAGGAUUUGAAUUUACCUCUCCCGAAGAAGAAGAUCAGAAAACGUCUCAGGUCAUUUGAACAAUGCAACAUGACAUCAAGAUUGGAUUUUGGACUAUGAUGUACAAAAGGCAAGAAUUCAGAGGUCAAGGAUCAAAGGAUGAAGAUUAAGGAUGGAAUUAGGAUUAGGGUUAGAUAAAUUUAGGAUCUUGGGACUCUUGGGGAUUGGGUUAACUUUGGUCAAAGUUGACCAAAAAGUCAAUUGUUGACCAAAGUCGGCAUUUGGUCAAAGUUCACCUUUUUUGUAUUUUAUUAAUGUAUGGAAAUUUUUAUGCUUUGUAAUGGAAUGAUAUUUAUGAAUGAAGUAAGAUUGGAUAUUGAAUUGAA